CUUCCUCCUCUGUUUCUCUCUGUCUUCUCUACUCUACUCUACUGUGUUGGCCAACACUCUCUCUCUCUCCCUCUCUUUGCUGUCUCCCUUCAUAGGGCACGGGCAGGAGUGCUAUGUGUGCAUCCCCUCAGGCUAGGUCUCGGGAGCUAUGAACAAGUAGGAGGGGACGAAAAUCAUGCAUCGUAGUGGGCGCUAGAGUGGAGGGGUGACUGUGGAUGUUGACUGUCUCUCCAAGUGGGCCUGAUGUAGAUAGGAUGGGAGAGGGAGGCAGGGAUGAGGGCAAGAUUACUUGCACCAAUUGAAUUUUGUGUAGUGAUGGCUCUUGCUUCGCUCAUUUCCUGCGCUUGCAGAGGAAUUGUCCAGGAGCAGCAGCUGAAGGAGAAAGUGGCAGACAAGGACCUGAGGAGCCUGGACAUCCUUCUAAGCAGACAUGAAUGGUCCUCAGAUUUCUGCCUCCCGCACAACUGGCUGUGAGUAAGCGGUCAGUGCUUGGAAUCCCUCAUCUGUACUGGCUCUGGUCUUGUUCAGAGGCUCUGAAUUUCCUCAUUGGACACGGUGCUCUGUGGGAUUCAGACGAGGCAAAGGCACAAGUUUCCUGUGCAGAUACCAAGGGAAAAGAGAGCUCGCAUCAGAGUCUACUGCCCUCAUGCGAUGGAAAUCAAGCGAGAGCAAUGGGACCAUGAGAAUUAUUGCUGCCAUGAACAAGCCGUGCAACUGGGAGAACAGACGCGACUCUCAAUGAGAUGUGUCUGUCUUGCUGUUCUAACAGAGGAAUUGUUGUUCUGGAGCCGUAGCCGGAGGAGAGACUGCAUCUGAGCAGCUUGGACAUCGUUCUAAGCAGACAUGAACAGUCCUCACUUUCUGCCUUCUGCAUAACUACACUUCAUGACUUUUAGCGUCACAUCUGAAGCCUAAGGUAAAUGCAGGGUAGAAGCUGAGUACAGGCAGCUGCUUCC
This is a long non-coding RNA of Mauremys reevesii (Reeves's turtle), 956 nucleotides long. RefSeq lists it as uncharacterized. The transcript has 3 exons. NCBI's taxonomy places the organism in Eukaryota, Metazoa, Chordata, Testudines, Geoemydidae. The record is from RefSeq and is a predicted model, not a curated record.